RNAcentral lists this transfer RNA (76 nucleotides) under Bacillota bacterium. RNAcentral's name for it is "tRNA-Met". It matches the Rfam family "tRNA". From Rfam's summary of the family: Transfer RNA (tRNA) molecules are approximately 80 nucleotides in length. Their secondary structure includes four short double-helical elements and three loops (D, anti-codon, and T loops). The record is from RNAcentral. RNAcentral also lists the same sequence under 1 other name. Lineage: Bacteria; Bacillati; Bacillota.
CGCGGGAUGGAGCAGUUGGUAGCUCGUCGGGCUCAUAACCCGAAGGUUGCCGGUUCGAGUCCGGCUCCCGCAACCA